GCUAGACCCGAAGUUCCCAGAGAACAGGAAUUUCCAGUGUGUUUUCUCCCCAGCCCUUCCCACAGUGCCUGGCUCACAGUGGUCAGUAAGUCUAAGUGACAAUGUGGAUGUGGACAGAAUGCUGCAGAAUCUGGAGAUGAGUCACUCACCUGACAGUGUAACAGUCAGUGCAAUUACAGCUGCAGUGAGGACGGCGAUCACUGCAUAGCAGCCGUAGAGCUUAGCAGGAGACUCAGGGGAGAUGAUCCUGAGACAUUUUCCUUGGAGCUUUUUACCUGAAAAUAUAAAUAUCAGAACAUCAAUCUCAAGAGGCUAUAAGGGCAGAUAAAGAAGACCAAGAAAAAGGCAGUCUGGUGUAGUAAGGUCUGUCUCUAGCAUGCCCAUGGAAGCCUCUUCAGCCUUUGCAGCCUUCAUCUGUGAGCCGAGAGGAAGAGACUCAAGUGAAUCCAGGAGGAUGUUUGAAACUUGAAACUGUGGAAGAGAAAGGACUUUGUGUUCUGUAUGUUGUUGCUCCUAAUAAAAUAUUUUACAAGUUUA
This is a long non-coding RNA of Peromyscus californicus insignis, 537 nucleotides long. RefSeq lists it as uncharacterized. Lineage: Eukaryota; Metazoa; Chordata; Mammalia; Rodentia; Cricetidae. The record is from RefSeq and is a predicted model, not a curated record. The transcript is spliced from 2 exons.